Molecule: ribosomal RNA, 252 nt
Filed under: uncultured bacterium
Lineage: Bacteria
Description: partial 16S ribosomal RNA
Rfam family: Bacterial small subunit ribosomal RNA
Source: RNAcentral
UACGUAGGGUGCAAGCGUUGUCCGGAAUCAUUGGGCGUAAAGCGCGUGUAGGCGGUCCGGUAAGUCCGCUGUGAAAGUCGGGGGCUCAACCCUCGAAUGCCGGUGGAUACUGUCGGGCUAGAGUGCGGAAGAGGCGAGUGGAAUUCCUGGUGUAGCGGUGAAAUGCGCAGAUAUCAGGAGGAACACCAAUUGCGAAGGCAGCUCGCUGGGACGUAACUGACGCUGAGACGCGAAAGCGUGGGAGCAAACAGG